GGAAAACUAAUAAGACUACGUACAAUAAAUAGCCUACACAAAAUUAUAAAAAUAAAAUACAUUGCAAAAAAAGGGGAAAACGAAUAAAAAGGAGGGGAAAAAUGAGAAACCUAUACACUUUCAGCUUUUGUUCCUUUUGGCUUCUAAUUUUGUGCCAUCUUUGAGUGUUUCUUGUGCAUCCGUCUCCAUUCCAAGGCUGAAGAGACAAGCUGCUUGAAGGUA
RNAcentral lists this unclassified non-coding RNA (222 nucleotides) under Hevea brasiliensis (rubber tree). Lineage: Eukaryota; Viridiplantae; Streptophyta; Magnoliopsida; Malpighiales; Euphorbiaceae. The record is from RNAcentral.